This is a long non-coding RNA of Hemicordylus capensis (graceful crag lizard), 1385 nucleotides long. RefSeq lists it as uncharacterized. The record is from RefSeq and is a predicted model, not a curated record. Lineage: Eukaryota; Metazoa; Chordata; Lepidosauria; Squamata; Cordylidae. The transcript is spliced from 2 exons.
UAUAUUGGGCAGCAGCGAUAUAGGAAGAUGCUGAAAGGCAUCAUCUCAUACUGCGUGGGAGAUGGCAAUGGUAAACCUCUCCUGUAUUCUACCAAAGAAAACCAGAGGGCUCUGUGGUCGCCAGGAGUCGACACCGACUCGACGGCACACUUUACCUAGGUGCUUCUCAGCAACCACCAGCAGCAACAACAAAAUUGCUAUUUGACCAUGGGCAAAGUGCUUCCUUGAGCAGUGAUAGCUGGAGCCCCCUCCAUGACUGAAUAAUGACUGCAUCUUUGAAUGAAAAACUAAGUUACUGGAGGGAAGACCAAAAUGUGCAACAGUAAGGCCCAGGUCAUAGGUAACGCAGAACAUUGGGUCCAAUGGACCUGUGGUUCUGUGCCCCACUUCACCUGCUCUCUAGACAUAAUGGAGAACUGCCUCUCAGCGAGACUGCAAAGAGGCGGGGGAGCUGGCUGCGUGGGCUUCCUUCUUUCCUGAAGGGCAGCCCAUGCAGCCAAUAGCAGCCAGAGUGAGGGAGGAGCUUUGUCCAUCAACUCUGGUUUGCGGUGAAGGCAAACUGUGCUCCCUGAUUCAAGCAUACCUCCAACAAAACUAACUACAAACUGAAGGUGACACAUGGAGUUUGGGGAAGGAAACGGCGGGUCUAUUUUUAAAUUAAAGUGCAAUUGCCCAGAAAUCCUGCAGAAAUGGGAGAUAGGGCUCUGAGCUCUGAAGCAUGUUCUGAAAUUCCUGCAUAUCACGAAACAUAUAUCUUUCGAUGAAGUAGCCAGCUCAGUUCUACAGUUCAUUUGAUUGCUCCAAUGGCUGUUCCAGAACGAUACACUCCUCUGUUGAAUAAAACAUGGGCAGUUGGUACAAUCCAGAAACACGACAUGAGUCUGCUAAUGAUGUAACUUUGCUGAAUUGAUUCCACUUGCGUGCUACCAGUUGUCUUCUGCAUUUUCUGAAAACAUGUCAAAUAUAAGUGAAGCACCUGGGAAUUAUAUGGACACAGUGUGUCAAUCUGCACAGUGUGCUGCCUUCCCUAUGAACAUCAGCAUUGGAGAACGAAAAAGCAGGUGUAGGGGGACCUUUCAAUUAUGAAAUGAAACAAGCUUUCUGUCUCCUCUGCAACAGCCUCUGCCAGAAUGGAGAUAAUGAAAGUAUUAAUGGAAUGUGAUAAGCUAUCCUGGAUAACUGUCCUAUCACAUGUUUUCUUUUUGUAGCUGUAUUACUACUACUGUCUUCCACUGGACACUUUUGGCACUGCUUACUUUCUGUCUGGGGCUCAGAGGGCUGACUAUGUUAUAACAGAUGGUUGAUUCACCAACAUUACAUUACCACUUUAAUUUUACAAAUUUUUCUUCCUAGUGUUUAAAUGGAUAAACAUUUCAUAUAUAUGA